Molecule: ribosomal RNA, 387 nt
Filed under: uncultured bacterium
Lineage: Bacteria
Description: bacterial SSU rRNA
Rfam family: Bacterial small subunit ribosomal RNA
Source: RNAcentral
GACGAACGCUGGCGGCGUGCUUAACACAUGCAAGUCGAGCGGUAAGGCCCUUUCGGGGGUACACGAGCGGCGAACGGGUGAGUAACACGUGGGUGACCUGCCCUCAGCUCUGGGAUAAGCCUGGGAAACCGGGUCUAAUACUGGAUAUGACUCCAUGACGCAUGUUGUGGGGUGGAAAGCCUUGCGCGGCUGAGGAUGGGCCCGCGGCCUAUCAGCCUGUUGGUGGGGUGAGGCCUACCAAGGCGACGACGGGUAGCCGGCCUGAGAGGGCGACCGGCCACACUGGGACUGAGACACGGCCCAGACUCCUAUGGGAGGCAGCAGUGGGGAAUCUUGCGCAAUGGGCGGAAGCCUGACGCAGCGACGCCGCGUGAGGGAUGACGGCCU